Molecule: ribosomal RNA, 468 nt
Filed under: uncultured bacterium
Lineage: Bacteria
Description: partial 16S ribosomal RNA
Rfam family: Bacterial small subunit ribosomal RNA
Source: RNAcentral
GACGAACGCUGGCGGCGUGCUUAACACAUGCAAGUCGAACGGAAAGGCCCUGCUUUUGUGGGGGGCUCGAGUGGCGAACGGGUGAGUAACACGUGAGUAACCUGCCCUUGACUUUGGGAUAACUUAAGGAAACUGGGGCUAAUACCGGAUAGGAGCUCCUGCUGCAUGGUGGGGGUUGGAAAGUUUCGGCGGUUGGGGAUGGACUCGGGGCUUAUCAGCUUGUUGGUGGGGUAGUGGCUUACCAAGGCUUUGACGGGUAGCCGGCCUGAGAGGGUGACCGGCCACCUUGGGACUGCGGUACGGCCCAGACUCCUACGGGAGGCAGCAGUGGGGAAUAUUGCACAAUGGGCGGAAGCCUGAUGCAGCAACGCCGCGUGCGGGAUGACGGCCUUCGGGUUGUAAACCGCUUUCGCCUGUGACGAAGCGUGAGUGACGGUAAUGGGUAAAGAAGCACCGGCUAACUACGUG